UAGCCUGCAUGUCUAAGUAUAAGUGUUAUACAGCGAAACUGCGAAUGGCUCAUUAAAACAGUUAUAGUUUAUUUGAUAAUCGAAUUUACAUGGAUAACCGUGGUAAUUCUAGAGCUAAUACAUGCUGGUAUGCCCGACUUUUGCGGAAGGGCGGUAUUUAUUAAAUAACAAGCCAAUAUUCCUCUGGUCUAUUGUGGUGACUCAUAAUAACUGAUCGAAUCGCAAGGCCUUUGGCCGCGAUAAAUCAUUCAAGUUUCUGCCCCAUCAGCUUUCGAUGGUAGUGUAUUGGACUACCAUGGCGUUUACGGGUAACGGAGGAUUAGGGUUCGAUUCCGGAGAGGGAGCCUGAGAAACGGCUACCACAUCUAAGGAAGGCAGCAGGCGCGUAAAUUACCCAAUCCUGACUCAGGGAGGUAGUGACAAGAAAUAACGGACCGGUUCCUUCGGAUUCGGGAUUGCAAUGAGCCGAAUUUACACCCCUUAUCAAGGAUCGAUUGGAGGGA
Molecule: ribosomal RNA, 503 nt
Filed under: uncultured eukaryote
Lineage: Eukaryota
Description: SSU rRNA
Rfam family: Eukaryotic small subunit ribosomal RNA
Source: RNAcentral